RNAcentral lists this ribosomal RNA (579 nucleotides) under uncultured bacterium. Its description in RNAcentral is "partial 16S ribosomal RNA". It matches the Rfam family "Bacterial small subunit ribosomal RNA", at positions 355 to 926 of the family's 1533-position model. The record is from RNAcentral.
UGGGGAAUUUUGGACAAUGGGCGAAAGCCUGAUCCAGCAAUGCCGCGUGUGUGAAGAAGGCCUUCGGGUUGUAAAGCACUUUUGUCCGGAAAGAAAUCCUUGGCUCUAAUACAGUCGGGGGAUGACGGUACCGGAAGAAUAAGCACCGGCUAACUACGUGCCAGCAGCCGCGGUAAUACGUAGGGUGCAAGCGUUAAUCGGAAUUACUGGGCGUAAAGCGUGCGCAGGCGGUUUGCUAAGACCGAUGUGAAAUCCCCGGGCUCAACCUGGGAACUGCAUUGGUGACUGGCAGGCUAGAGUAUGGCAGAGGGGGGUAGAAUUCCACGUGUAGCAGUGAAAUGCGUAGAGAUGUGGAGGAAUACCGAUGGCGAAGGCAGCCCCCUGGGCCAAUACUGACGCUCAUGCACGAAAGGCGUGGGGAGCAAACAGGAUUAGAUACCCUGGUAGUCCACGCCCUAAACGAUGUCAACUAGUUGUUGGGGACUCAUUUCCUUAGUAACGUAGCUAACGCGUGAAGUUGACCGCCUGGGGAGUACGGUCGCAAGAUUAAAACUCAAAUGAAUUGACGGGGUCAUAGCU